Molecule: long non-coding RNA, 1129 nt
Organism: Cryptomeria japonica (Japanese cedar)
Lineage: Eukaryota; Viridiplantae; Streptophyta; Pinopsida; Cupressales; Cupressaceae
Exons: 5
Source: RefSeq, a predicted model, not a curated record
AUCAAAUAGGUGACCAAAUAAACAACCGUCCAGGGCAUUUGGGUGGAUGGGAUCAUCGUGCCGGAGCCCUUAGCUGGAAGGCCGUUGGCGACAUAGAAGAUCACCCAUAAAAAACUAGCCGUUGGGAGAAUGAUAACGGGAAGGAGGAUUCAAAUUUUGAUUGACACCGGGAAAAAAGCAUUUGAAAUUAAGAUAAAGAUAAACAUUUCAGUUUCAUUUGGUUACAUACAUUCUUUCUUUUUCUGAUUGCCUCUUUCUGUCGAUGUUCUGUUCUGUGACUGUCCCUUUCUGUCAAUAUUCUGUUCUCUGAUUACCCCUUUCUGUCAAUGUUCUAUUCUUUCUCUCUGUUUUGUUCUUUUUUUUUUUGAAGUGCUUGCUUUGUUUUCAUUUUUCAUUUUCUUGUCUGCAGCGUGCACGCUGGUCUGUAUUUUUUUUGGUCUGUCUGUCUAUGUUUUUUGGUGUUACAUUUUUCUAGCAGAGGAGAGGAAAGGCAGAGCAGAGGAGAGGAAAGGCAGAGCAGAGGAAGAGGCAGAGCAACCGAGGGUAAAAUCUUCUUCCAGGCAUGAGAUGCAGGGUCCAGCAAGAAUUCAUAUAAUCGAUGAAGAGAAGAAGAGAUGGAAGGCAAUGAGUUGAUCUUCACCUGCACAGCUAAUCCAUUUGGAUUUGCUAUCAAGCACAGAUCCUAUGGAGAGGUUCUGUUCAACUACUUAUAUGGCAGCUUGGUUUUCAGUAUCUGAUAUGAAAUUGUUGAGGGAAUGGCUGUGUUAUCUGUACCAUGACAGUAAUCCUGUGGUUGUGCAUGGAGAUGUGCACCAAUGUACUAAUGGACAGUCACAUGGAGUCUCAGAUGGCUGAUUUUGGUUAGCCAGAUUCAUGCAGAGGGAAGCCACCAUGUGCUCUAGCGCGUACACUGCACUAGGUUCGCUGGACUUCUACUUCUUCGCAGGUUCAUAUCCAUUGGAUGUGGUUCAGCAGUUCGCUGACCUCAUAGGACAUACAGCUGCAAUGCCCUAUUGGGCUUCUGGUAUGUCUGUAGAUGCCUUGCUCUAGAGUUUUUUAGUGUAGCAUUGUGUUGUUUAUUGGCUUUCAAAUAUUUUACAGAACCUGCAAAUCAUCUACUCGAGUAAGG